This is a transfer RNA of Felis catus (domestic cat), 73 nucleotides long. It matches the Rfam family "tRNA". From Rfam's summary of the family: Transfer RNA (tRNA) molecules are approximately 80 nucleotides in length. Their secondary structure includes four short double-helical elements and three loops (D, anti-codon, and T loops). Further hydrogen bonds mediate the characteristic L-shaped molecular structure. tRNAs have two regions of fundamental functional importance: the anti-codon, which is responsible for specific mRNA codon recognition, and the 3' end, to which the tRNAs corresponding amino acid is attached (by aminoacyl-tRNA synthetases). tRNAs cope with the degeneracy of the genetic code in two manners: having more than one tRNA (with a specific anti-codon) for a particular amino acid; and 'wobble' base-pairing, i.e. permitting non-standard base-pairing at the 3rd anti-codon position. NCBI's taxonomy places the organism in Eukaryota, Metazoa, Chordata, Mammalia, Carnivora, Felidae. The record is from Rfam.
ACCUGGCUGGCUCAGUCAGUAGAGCCUGUGACUCUCGAUCUCAGGGUUGUGAGUUCAAGCCCCACAUUGGGUG